This 339-nucleotide RNase P RNA is filed under the name human gut metagenome. RNAcentral's name for it is "Bacterial RNase P class A". It matches the Rfam family "Bacterial RNase P class A". Rfam says of the family: Ribonuclease P (RNase P) is a ubiquitous endoribonuclease, found in archaea, bacteria and eukarya as well as chloroplasts and mitochondria. The record is from RNAcentral.
UAAAUUGAAUAGUCGCUGGCAAUAUUCAAAAGAUAUUGCGAGAGGAAAGUCCGGGCUCCACAGAGCAAAAAUGCUAGAUAACGUCUAGUAAGGGUGACCUUAAGGAAAGUGCAACAGAAAAUAACCGCCAUUAUUGGCAAGGGUGAAAAGGUGAGGUAAGAGCUCACCGCUAUUAUGGUGACAUAAUAGGCUGUGUAAACCCCAUUUGGAGCAACACCAAUAAAGAAGAUUAAGUCUGCUCGACGCCUUCUUGACUGUGUGGCUUGAAAUAUAUAGUGAUAUAUAUUCUAGAUAAAUGACUAUUUUAAAAGACAGAACCCGGCUUACAGAUUUACUCUU